GUCCGACGCGGCCAAGGGUCAAGAUCAAGUUAUCUGCAUCUCCUGCGCUCCAUCAAGCCACUCCAAUAAUAGCCGUCACCACUCAAAUGAAUGCACGGCUCAGAUUAACUGUACAGC
Molecule: long non-coding RNA, 117 nt
Organism: Sinocyclocheilus grahami
Lineage: Eukaryota; Metazoa; Chordata; Actinopteri; Cypriniformes; Cyprinidae
Exons: 3
Source: RefSeq, a predicted model, not a curated record